This is a long non-coding RNA of Manihot esculenta (cassava), 778 nucleotides long. RefSeq lists it as uncharacterized. The transcript has 2 exons. NCBI's taxonomy places the organism in Eukaryota, Viridiplantae, Streptophyta, Magnoliopsida, Malpighiales, Euphorbiaceae. The record is from RefSeq and is a predicted model, not a curated record.
UUUUUUUGCUCGUCCCCCUGGUGCCAAACAUAUAGUGGCAGACAGACAGAGAGAGAGGCUAUGGAGAAUAAUCACAACAAGGAAGGAGUAGGAGAAACACGAGGACGACGAGGAGGUGAAGCCAUGGACAGAGAGGAGGAUGAGGGGGAGUUAGUUCCAGACUGACCUCGGAGAGGAUGGCUUUCAAUUGAGAACCUCUACAAGGCUCAGAUGAAGCACAUUCAACAGCGGAAACAAAGGUGAUCGCAGUGUGAUUAUUCUGAAGACUUGCCUGAUGACUCGGAAAUCCAGAAGCUUUCUCUCUGUCACCACGAAGAAUCACUGAUUGCUCAGCGUGUAAACUGUACGGCAUCAGCAUAACAGAUAGAGCACUCAUCUUGCGAAGUUGGAGGAUUGAGAGAGAGGAUGCUUAACCUUGGGUGAUCCUAUUAUCUUGGCCGCCACAGGCGCAGCCCAGCAACUGCAAAUUAGGUCAGAUUUUGGAAUCUUUAGUAAAAUUAUCCACACGUAGACUUGAUUCAUUGUCUUGGGCAACGCUCUAUCCUUGCUCUUGGCGAGUCAAAUUCAAGGUUAUCACAUGGUAAUUGGGCCUACUUGUUGGUCUCCUGUUGUCAAGUGGGCUGCUUAACUCUGACUUCUACUUUUCUUUAUUAUUUUUCUUUUCCUGAUAGUUUUUACAUAAGCUUGGCUUGGUAGCUCAGCUGAGUCAUUUUGACUGAUCCAUAAAUGAUUAAGGAUGCUGAAAAAUAAAUGGAAAGAAAGACAGGCUUCAAUCUUC